Molecule: ribosomal RNA, 400 nt
Filed under: Haliclona xena
Lineage: Eukaryota; Metazoa; Porifera; Demospongiae; Haplosclerida; Chalinidae
Description: bacterial SSU rRNA
Rfam family: Eukaryotic small subunit ribosomal RNA
Source: RNAcentral
UGCUUGUCUCAAAGAUGCAUGUGAAGUAUAAAGACUGCGAAUGGCUCAUUAAAUCAGUUAUAGUUUAUUUGAUGGUUGGAUAACCGUGGUAAUUUAGAGAUACAUGCAAAAGGUCCCGACGUUGAUUCAUAGUAACUUCUCGAACCGCUUGGGCGCCGGCGAUGGUUCAUUCUAGUUUCUGGCCUAUCUACUUUCGAUGGGGGGGUAUUGACCUACCAUGUUGCAACGGGGACGGAGAAUUAGGGUUCGAUUCCGGAGAGGCUGAGAACGGCUACCACAUCCGGCAGCAGGCGCGCAAUUACCAAUCCCGACUCGGGGAGGUAGUGACAAUAAAUAACAAUGCCGGUCCGGCAAUUGGAAUGAGUCAAUCCAAAUAACGAGAACAAGGGCAAGUCUGGUU